GACGAACGCUGGCGGCGUGCUUAACACAUGCAAGUCGAACGGAAAGGCCCUGCUUUUGUGGGGGCUCGAGUGGCGAACGGGUGAGUAACACGUGAGUAACCUGCCCUUGACUUUGGGAUAACUUCAGGAAACUGGGGCUAAUACCGGAUAGGAGCUCCUGCUGCCUGGUGGGGGUUGGAAAGUUUCGGCGGUUGGGGAUGGACUCGCGGCUUAUCAGCUUGUUGGUGGGGUAGUGGCUUACCAAGGCUUUGACGGGUAGCCGGCCUGAGAGGGUGACCGGCCACAUGGGGACUGAGAUACGGCCCAGACUCCUACGGGAGGCAGCAGUGGGGAAUAUUGCACAAUGGGCGGAAGCCUGAUGCAGCAACGCCGCGUGCGGGAUGACGGCCUUCGGGUUGUAAACCGCUUUCGCCUGUGACGAAGCGUGAGUGACGGUAAUGGGUAAAGAAGCACCGGCUAACUACGUG
This 467-nucleotide ribosomal RNA is filed under the name uncultured bacterium. Its description in RNAcentral is "partial 16S ribosomal RNA". It matches the Rfam family "Bacterial small subunit ribosomal RNA", at positions 28 to 507 of the family's 1533-position model. The record is from RNAcentral.